Non-coding RNA from Callithrix jacchus (white-tufted-ear marmoset), 1755 nucleotides. The record is from RefSeq and is a predicted model, not a curated record. Lineage: Eukaryota; Metazoa; Chordata; Mammalia; Primates; Cebidae.
AUGGAUCUGGUAGGAGUGGCAUCGCCUGAGCCCGGGCCAGCAGCGGCCUGGGGACCCAGCAAGUGUCCGUGGGCUAUCGCUCAAAAUACAAUAUCUAGUUCUUUGGCUGAGGUAAUGAGUGAACAGCUGGCCAAAGAAUUGCAGUUAGAAGAAGCAGCUGCUGUUUUUCCUGAAGUUGCUGUUGCCGAAGGACCAUUUAUUACUGGAUAAAACAUUGAUACUUCCAGUGACCUUAUGCUGGCUCAGAUACUAUUGAUGGACUUUGACAGAGAAUAUGAUGCACAGCUUAGGUGUGAAGAAAAAACAUUCAAUGGAGAUAGCAAAGUUUCCAUUUCCUUUGAGAAUUAUCGAGAAGUGCAUCCUUAUGAAGACAGCGAUAGCUCUGAAGAUGAGGCUGACUGGCAGGUACUCAGGAUGAUCCAUCCCUACAGACCAGCAAAACCGGCUCCCACUCCUAAAAAGGGUUUUAUUGGAAAAGGAAAAGAUAUCACCACCAAACAUGAUGAAGUAGUAUGUGGGAGAAAGAAUACAGCAGGAAUGGAAAAUUUUGCACCUGAGUUUCAGGUAGGGGAUGAAUUGAAAUGGACUUAAAACUAUCAAACCAUGUUUCCGAUGCUUUAUAACAACAUGCCUACUCAGAAGAAUGUCAAAGUGCCCAGCUACAUGAAAAAAAGGAGCAUUCAACAGCAGAAAAAGCAGUUGAUCCUAAGACACGUUUGCUUAUGUAUAAAAUGGUGAACUCUGGAAUGCUGGAGACAAUCACUGGCUGUAUUAAUACAGGAAAGGAAUCUGUUGUCUUUCAUGCAUAUGGUGGGAGCACGGAGGAUGAAAAGGAAGACAGUAAAGUUAUACCUACAGAAUGUGCCCUCAAGGUAUUUAAAACAACACUUAAUGAGUUUAAGAAUCGUGACAAAUAUAUUAAGGAUGAUUUCAGGUUUAAAGAUUGCUUCAGCAAACUACAUCCAUGUAAGAUCAUCUGCAUGUGGGCAGAAAAAGAAAGGCACAAUCUCACAAGAAUGCAGACAGCUGAAAUUUCUUGUCCAACAAUUGUACUACUCAAGAAACACAUUUUUCUUAUGUCUUUUGUUGGCCAUGAUCAAGUUCCAGCUUCUAAAUUAAAAGAAGUAAAGCUCAAUAGUGAAGAAAUGAAAGAAGCCUACUAUCAAACUCUUCAUCUGAUGCAGCAGUUAUAUAACGAAUAUACACUCAUCCACGCUGACCUCAGUGAAUACAACAUGCUGUGGCAUGCUAGAAAGGUCUGGUUGAUUGAUGUCAGUCAGUCAGUAGAACCUACCCAUCCUCAUGGCCUGGAGCUCUUGUUCCAGGACUCAGGAAUGUCUCGCAGUUUUUCCAGAAAGGAGGAGUCAAGGAAGCCCUUAGUGAACUCUUCAAUGCUGUUUCAGGCUUAAACAUCUCAGCAGAUAAUGAAUCUGAUUUUUUAGCUGAGAUAGAAGCUUUGGAGAAAAUGAAUGAAGAUCACAUUCAGAAGAAUGGAAGGAAAGCUGCUUCAUUUUUGAAAGAUGAUGGAGACCCACCAGGACCAUAUGAUGAACAGCACUAAUACCCACUGCUUCAGUGUUAACGCACCAGUGAUCAUCAGCUGCCAAUAGCAAAUGAAGUUAUGGGUGACCUGAAAUACCAAAACAUGAAGAGUGGACAAUGGUGCUUAUGUGCUUUGUCCCCCUUAUAAUCCGUGUGCCAGAUGUGUGGAAUUUUUAGCUCAGCAUUGAGAGAAUAAAAUGUCACUACCUCUCA